This 442-nucleotide long non-coding RNA is filed under the name Eucalyptus grandis. Its description in RNAcentral is "long non-coding RNA (EGRA_LNC004985)". The record is from RNAcentral. Lineage: Eukaryota; Viridiplantae; Streptophyta; Magnoliopsida; Myrtales; Myrtaceae.
UUACCACGGGACUGUCACAAAGUAAAAGCGUCUACUGGUGAACUUAAGGCCUACCCAUUGGCAUAAGGGGAAUCACGAGAAGCACGGCGCUGCGGAGGGGAACGGCUAUAGCUGCGGUCACGUCGAGGUGGUGUGAUGCUGCGGUCACGUCGAGGAGGUGUGAUGCUGCGGCGGCGCAGAGAUCUAUCCCGGGGGCUGUAGCUCCUGCAAUUUUAUGCAGGUUGGAUGAAUAUACUCACAUAAAAGAAAAGGCCAAAUGUACGGACAGCAAACAAAACAUGUAGAACAGAAAGUUCUAUAGGAAAAAUCAAAGUAUGACACACACUAUGUUCUAUCAAAAAGAACAAUCACCAUUGUGAUCUUAUUCUCCUAAUCUUGUUCAAUUGGAGACUUUUACCAUAAAACACAAACAGCUUUUAUAUACUGUAAAGCAUGGAAAGAG